Molecule: ribosomal RNA, 388 nt
Filed under: uncultured bacterium
Lineage: Bacteria
Description: bacterial SSU rRNA
Rfam family: Bacterial small subunit ribosomal RNA
Source: RNAcentral
GGGUUGUAAACUUCUUUUAUAAAGGAAUAAAGUCGGGUAUGCAUACCCGUUUGCAUGUACUUUAUGAAUAAGGAUCGGCUAACUCCGUGCCAGCAGCCGCGGUAAUACGGAGGAUCCGAGCGUUAUCCGGAUUUAUUGGGUUUAAAGGGAGCGUAGAUGGAUGUUUAAGUCAGUUGUGUAAGUUUGCGGCUCAACCGUAAAAUUGCAGUUGAUACUGGAUGUCUUGAGUGCAGUUGAGGCAGGCGGAAUUCGUGGUGUAGCGGUGAAAUGCUUAGAUAUCACGAAGAACUCCGAUUGCGAAGGCAGCCUGCUAAGCUGCAACUGACAUUGAGGCUCGAAAGUGUGGGUAUCAAACAGGAUUAGAUACCCUGGUAGUCCACACGGUAAA